AAAAACCAGAAUCACCAGAGCAGCACAAAACCUUGUGACAGCUUUCCACUGCAGGUCGAGUAUUUGUUAGUUUAACUUGAUCAGCUUCCAUUUUGAUGUGCAUAAAACGAUCUGCCGCAGGAUAAGAACCCAGUUCUCAGAAAACAAGCAGCAGACUCCAUAGAUGAAUUUCCAAGUUUUCCUCUUCACCAACCCAGUAAAGAUCCUCUUUCGACCGUCAGUCCAAGAAACAAUGUUGACAUUAUGAAGUAUACUAUCUCAGAAAUGCCACUUUGCUGGGAAAAAGCCAAGGACCCCAGUCAAUGCCCAAAUCACAGAUGAUAGUUUCAAUCGAGUUGAGAAGGACAAGGAAUCCGUGGAAGCUUUUGAAUACAUCAGUUACAUCUUCUUCAUGCAAGGCUGGUCAGCCAGAAAGUUGGAGAGCGACUAAAGAAGAAGACUCGCUGUUGCUUCACCUCAAAGGAAACCCACUUUCUCGGCACACGGCAUGAGUGGCAAGAAAAAGUGGUGCUUAUUUAGAUGUUGGUUCCAUUUUAACCGUAGAAAUGUUCAUACUUAUCCUCGCAGAUUAGCUUUUUCUUGUCAUCUUGGA
Long non-coding RNA from Nymphaea colorata (pocket water lily), 592 nucleotides. RefSeq lists it as uncharacterized. The transcript is spliced from 3 exons. Lineage: Eukaryota; Viridiplantae; Streptophyta; Magnoliopsida; Nymphaeales; Nymphaeaceae. The record is from RefSeq and is a predicted model, not a curated record.